AUUCCUUUCUGAGCCUGCCUGGCCAGUCUCUGGCUUUACCUCCUGGUAUGUUGGUGUCACAAAGGGAUCUUCAUGACUUCACUGCCCUUCCCUCAGGUACUUGAGUCCGGGAACUGACUCUCAACCUGCCUUUGCCUACCUCUCAGUCUCAGAGGAACCCCUUCGUUGAGUUUUUUCCUCCUUUUGGCUCUUGCGUUUCUCUCACCCCAUCUCACCUCCGCCUGUCCAUCAUGAGCCUAUUCUAUUCCCUGUCCUAAGUUUGCACAAGAGACAAACCUGAGGCUCAGAUUGGGUAACACGGCCACAGGUUGACAGCCCAGAUGUGAUGAGCAGGAACAGAGAGAGCAGAGUCCCCAGGUGAAUGGUCAGGCCUUGGGGACUUCAACAAAGAAAGGACUCCCACGUCCCUCCCCGGCUAACCUGGAUCCUGCUCAACCCAACACCUGCCUUCUCUCGGUCCCUGGGUUCCCGCAGGCCUUGGGGCCCCACAGUCAUAUCUGCUGUUCCUGCAGCAGAGAGGUUGUACUGGGUUGAGAGAGAGGCCUCAGAAUCAAGACCUUGUCUCCUGCCACAGUUUCCCUGGUGAAGCUCCCAGGCUGAGCACAAACUUCCAGGUCGAGCACAGAAGUUUCGACCUGGAAACUUCAGCCCUCAGAGAGGAGGUGGCACUAACGCUCUAGGUGGGCGGCUGCUCUAUGGUCUUCUGCUGCCUGGAGAGCUUUGCCUCCAUCACUGGUGCCCACCUGGGGAAUGCUCAGGAACUACUCUUCAAAAG
RNAcentral lists this long non-coding RNA (775 nucleotides) under Homo sapiens (human). RNAcentral describes it as "non-protein coding lnc-GPCPD1-8:1". Lineage: Eukaryota; Metazoa; Chordata; Mammalia; Primates; Hominidae. The record is from RNAcentral.